UGGGGAAUAUUGGACACUGGGCGAAAGCCUGAUCCAGCCAUGCCGCGUGUGUAAAGAAGGUCUUCGGAUUGUAAAGCACUUUAAGCUGGGAGGAAGGGCAGUAAGCGAAUACCUUGCUGUUUUGACGUUACCGACAGAAUAAGCACCGGCUAACUCUGUGCCAGCCGCCGCGGUAAUACAGAGGGUGCAAGCGUUAAUCGGAAUUACUGGGCGUAAAGCGCGCGUAGGUGGUUCGUUAAGUUGAAUGUGAAAGCCCCGGGCUCAACCUGGGAACUGCAUCCAAAACUGGCGAGCUAGAGUAGGGCAGAGGGUGGUGGAAUUUCCUGUGUAGCGGUGAAAUGCGUAGAUAUAGGAAGGAACACCAGUGGCGAAGGCGACCACCUGGGCUCAUACUGACACUGAGGUGCGAAAGCGUGGGGAGCAAACAGG
RNAcentral lists this ribosomal RNA (429 nucleotides) under Pseudomonadota bacterium. Its description in RNAcentral is "Proteobacteria bacterium partial 16S ribosomal RNA". It matches the Rfam family "Bacterial small subunit ribosomal RNA", at positions 355 to 776 of the family's 1533-position model. Lineage: Bacteria; Pseudomonadati; Pseudomonadota. The record is from RNAcentral.